Molecule: ribosomal RNA, 545 nt
Filed under: uncultured archaeon
Lineage: Archaea
Description: bacterial SSU rRNA
Rfam family: Archaeal small subunit ribosomal RNA
Source: RNAcentral
CCAACCGUUGGACUGCAGAGGAUACCGCAUGACUAGAGGCGGGAGAGGUGGAUGGUACUCCAUGGGUAGGGUAAAAUCCUUUGAUCCAUGGAAGACCACCAGUGGCGAAGCGGUCCGCUAAACGCGCUCGACGGUGAGGGAUGAAAGCUGGGGGAGCGAACCGGAUUAGAUACCCGGGUAGUCCCAGCUGUAAACGAUGCGAGCUAGUGGUGGAGUGGCCGUGUGCUAUUCCAAUGCCGCAGGAAGCCGUUAAGCUCGCCGCCUGGGGAGUACGGCCGCAAGGCUGAAACUUAAAGGAAUUGGCGGGGGAGCACCACAAGGGGUGAAGCCUGCGGUUUAAUUGGAGUCAACGCCGGGAACCUUACCCAGGGAGACAGCAGAAUGAAAGGUCAGGUCAAAGACCUUACCAGACAAGCUGAGAGGAGGUGCAUGGCCGUCGCCAGACUCGUGCCGUGAGGCGUCCUGUUACGUCAGGCAACGAGCGAGAUCCCUACCGCUAUUGCUACUCCCAUCCGAAAGGAUCGAGAAGCUAGUUAGUGGGACUG